CAGCCGCCACGGUAAAACGGAGGGGGCUAGCGUUGUUCGGAAUUGCUGGGCGUAAAGCGCACGUAGGCGGCUUUGUAAGUUAGAGGUGAAAGCCUGGGGCUCAACUCCAGAAUUGCCUUUAAGACUGCAUCGCUUGAACGUCGGAGAGGUGAGUGGAAUUCCGAGUGUAGAGGUGAAAUUCGUAGAUAUUCGGAAGAACACCAGUGGCGAAGGCGGCUCACUGGACGACUGUUGACGCUGAGGUGCGAAAGCGUGGGGAGCAAACAGGAUUAGAUACCCCCGUAGUCCCUGUCUCUUAUAA
Molecule: ribosomal RNA, 301 nt
Filed under: uncultured bacterium
Lineage: Bacteria
Description: partial 16S ribosomal RNA
Rfam family: Bacterial small subunit ribosomal RNA
Source: RNAcentral